GAAAGACCUCAUUGACCUGUUAGCAGAUUAUAAUCAUUGGACAAAGCUGUUGGAUUCUUCAGGAUACUGCAGCUCUGUAGCUGUAGCAGAGACAGGCUCCUAUGAGUAUAGGAGCUCAUUGUCUCAUGGGGUUAGAGAGACAGCAUCUGGGCUCUAACUCUUGACUCUUUCUCUGUACUUUAAAUAUUUCCUUUCUCAGAAGAGCAAUGGCAACGUGAGCUUCUGGCUUGUAGCUGAAACCCUCAGAAGCCACAAGACAAGAUGCAGACAUUCUUUGCAAAAAAUUUACACUCCUGCUAGUACUGGACCUAAGAAGAAACUGGAAGGCUUACAGAAAGCACAAGUUUAUUCUCCCCUCAGGGGCAGCUGAAGAGAGAGUCUUUCAAGAGUCUUUCUCCAUCCCACAUGGUGAGGAACAGUCUGCUUUUGCUGAGAGUGGAAAUGCCUCUGUUGAAAUGAUCUCGUGGAAAUAGGAAGAUGCAAGAAGAAAAUGUUCAAGUAGUCUGUAAAACCUGCACACUGCUACAAACAGAAGGAAAGUUCACAAAAGAGAAUAAGAGUUGGGGGAUAGUGAUUGAUCUGUAUCAUAUGCUGUCCUCAUGUGCUUUCUUUUGGGAGAAUAGCUGCUGUCCUUUGCCAUUCCUGAGCUGGCAUUUUACUCACCAGUCUCUGGGCAAGGAUUCCAAGCCAAACACCACAUCCAGUGGUUUCUGUCUGGAGAGGAUAUGAGUCUUCCACAUUCAGCUGUAGUGAAGAAGAUUA
Molecule: long non-coding RNA, 762 nt
Filed under: Zonotrichia albicollis (white-throated sparrow)
Lineage: Eukaryota; Metazoa; Chordata; Aves; Passeriformes; Passerellidae
Description: lncRNA (ENSZALG00000018148.1)
Source: RNAcentral